UGGGGAAUAUUGGACAAUGGGGGAAACCCUGAUCCAGCCAUGCCGCGUGAGUGAUGAAGGCCUUCGGGUUGUAAAGCUCUUUUAGCAGGGACGAUGAUGACGGUACCUGCAGAAUAAGCCACGGCUAACUUCGUGCCAGCAGCCGCGGUAAUACGAAGGUGGCUAGCGUUGUUCGGAUUUACUGGGCGUAAAGGGAGCGUAGGCGGUCUAUCAAGUCAGGCGUGAAAGCCCGAGGCUUAACCUCGGAACUGCGCUUGAAACUGGUGGACUGGAGUAUGGGAGAGGAUAGCGGAAUUCCUAGUGUAGAGGUGAAAUUCGUAGAUAUUAGGAAGAACACCGGUGGCGAAGGCGGCUAUCUGGACCAUUACUGACGCUGAAGCUCGAAAGCAUGGGGAUCAAA
RNAcentral lists this ribosomal RNA (400 nucleotides) under uncultured bacterium. Its description in RNAcentral is "bacterial SSU rRNA". It matches the Rfam family "Bacterial small subunit ribosomal RNA", at positions 355 to 772 of the family's 1533-position model. The record is from RNAcentral.